UUUUAAGGUAAAACUUUAAACUUUGGAACAUUGAAACAGGCUAAGAAAAAUAAUUGGAUAGAAAAUAUUACUCUAUUCAUUUAUCUCCCAGCCUACAAAA
Pteropus alecto (black flying fox) is the source of this 100-nucleotide non-coding RNA. Lineage: Eukaryota; Metazoa; Chordata; Mammalia; Chiroptera; Pteropodidae. The record is from Rfam.